Molecule: ribosomal RNA, 277 nt
Filed under: uncultured prokaryote
Description: partial 16S ribosomal RNA
Rfam family: Bacterial small subunit ribosomal RNA
Source: RNAcentral
UACGUAGGGGGCUAGCGUUAUCCGGAAUUACUAGGCGUAAAGGGCAGGCAGGCGGAUCCAUAAGUUUAUCGUUUAAGGCGUCGGCUUAACCGGCGUAGGGCGGUAGAUACUGUGGAUCUGGAAUGCGGUUGGGGAAGACAGAAUUCCUGGUGUAGCGGUGGAAUGCGCAGAGAUCAGGAGGAAUACCGAAGGAGAAGGCAGUCUUCCAAGCCGUUAUUGACGCUCAACUGCGAAGGUGUGGGUAUCAAACAGGAUUAGAUACCCGCGUAGUCCCUGA